GACGAACGCUGGCGGCGUGCUUAACACAUGCAAGUCGAACGAAGUGGCGAACGGGUGAGUAACGCGUCAUCAACCUGCCCUUCAGAGGGGGCCAACAGCUGGAAACGACUGCUAAUACCGCACACUGAAGGAGCGGAUUGCGUCUGAUUAGCUAGUUGGAGGGGUAACGGCCCACCAAGGCGAUGCUCAGUAGCAGGUGUGAGAGGAUGAACGGCCACAUUGGGACUGAGACACGGCCCAGACGCCUACGGGAGGCAGCAGUGGGGAAUCUUGGGCAAUGGACGAAAGUCUGACGGGGCAACGCCGCGUGAGUGAUGACGGCCUUCGGGUUGUAAAGCUCUGAUAAUCGGGACGCGGUACCGGAAUAGAAAGCCACGGCUAACUACGUGCCAGCCGCCGCGGUAAUAC
This 408-nucleotide ribosomal RNA is filed under the name uncultured bacterium. RNAcentral describes it as "partial 16S ribosomal RNA". It matches the Rfam family "Bacterial small subunit ribosomal RNA", at positions 28 to 526 of the family's 1533-position model. The record is from RNAcentral.